This 310-nucleotide ribosomal RNA is filed under the name Lanistes sp. UGSB 23673. RNAcentral's name for it is "partial large subunit ribosomal RNA". It matches the Rfam family "Archaeal large subunit ribosomal RNA", at positions 1911 to 2359 of the family's 2987-position model. Lineage: Eukaryota; Metazoa; Mollusca; Gastropoda; Architaenioglossa; Ampullariidae. The record is from RNAcentral.
GGCUCCUUGAAAAAAAUUUUAUAGGGAGUCUUACCUGCCCAGUGAAAUAAUCUUUAACGGCCGCGGUACUCUGACCGUGCAAAGGUAGCAUAAUCAUUUGCCUUAUAAUUGAAGGCUAGUAUGAAAGGUUUGAUGAGGGCUGAGCUGGCUCCUGUUAAUUAAAAUGAAAUUGUCUUUCAGGUGCAAAGACCUAAAUUGAAUUAAAAGACAAGAAGACCCUAUUGAGCUUUAAAAAUUUUAUGAUAUAUAAUGCUACGGUUUAGCUGGAUGCUAGCUCAUUAAUUUUUUUAGUUGGGGCGACUCCGGAACA